UACGUAGGGUGCAAGCGUUAAUCGGAAUUACUGGGCGUAAAGCGUGCGCAGGCGGCUAUGCAAGACAGAUGUGAAAUCCCCGGGCUCAACCUGGGAACUGCAUUUGUGACUGCAUGGCUAGAGUACGGCAGAGGGGGAUGGAAUUCCGCGUGUAGCAGUGAAAUGCGUAGAUAUGCGGAGGAACACCGAUGGCGAAGGCAAUCCCCGUGGGCCUGUACUGACGCUCAUGCACGAAAGCGUGGGGAGCAAACAGG
This 254-nucleotide ribosomal RNA is filed under the name uncultured bacterium. RNAcentral describes it as "partial 16S ribosomal RNA". It matches the Rfam family "Bacterial small subunit ribosomal RNA", at positions 524 to 776 of the family's 1533-position model. The record is from RNAcentral.